Molecule: long non-coding RNA, 1778 nt
Organism: Fukomys damarensis (Damara mole-rat)
Lineage: Eukaryota; Metazoa; Chordata; Mammalia; Rodentia; Bathyergidae
Exons: 5
Source: RefSeq, a predicted model, not a curated record
CCGCUGGGGAGGGAGACUUGGGAAAAGCACCCGAGGCUGGGUGGGUGCAGCUGAGCUCUUCCAGCUGAGUGCGAUCCAGGCCUUCCUGUUACGUGUCACCGCGCAGUUGGGGUGCAGGGGCAGCGCUCCAGGGCCCACGUGCUGGCAUGGGUUCCCUGGAGCCCAGAACUGCGCUGCUCACAGAACUCGCGUCCCCCUUGCCACAUGGGCUUGGUCACAGAAGGGACAAACACCCUCAAGGUCCUAUGCCAGGCCUGAGGUCAGGGGCCCUGCAAAAGAGGAUUUCCUGAAGAGGAGGGUCCACACACACAGGUAGCCAGGAGAGACUGGAGCUGCUCUGCUGCAGUGCAUUUCCUACUCAGCUUUUCCUGGCUGCUGUCAGAGUUUGACUUCUCCACCAGUGGAGGCCGUGGUUUGGGGCUGCCAGAGAACUUCAGCUUCCUGGUGUGGACUAGAAAUGCCAGACCCCUGGAAACAAAUAAAUGGGAAGAAGAAAAUGCGAGGAGCAAGAAAUGGAUUUGAAGAGUCAGUGUGACCUCAAGUUUAUAUUGCUGGUAACAGAGAAGUGUAAGGCAGUGACAGCUGAUGUUCGGAGGGGUGAAUUUGCUUUCUUGAGGUGACACAGCCAGGAAUGAGGAAUAAGAGAGCAUGGCAACACUGUCUGUCCCAGGCCUGUGGUCUUACCACCAGGACAAGCGACUUUGCAAAAGUAUUGGUCCCAGUGAUAAAAAGCCAACUAAUACACACAGAAACCUACACUUUGCAUGAAUCUUGGGAAAGCAUGAUACCUAAGAAUGGAACAUGUGCCUGCUUCGUGAGCUCCAGCCACCAGAUAUCCUCAGUUUCUGCUCUUGAAAUCUGCACACUGGUCUUUCUGUCCAAGGGAACUUUCCUGGGAGCUGGGUCACACAUAGGGCAGAAUGUGCUCUCUGGGCGUCUCUCAGGAAUGCAAUAGUGUGUCCCUAACUCUCUCCCUGUCCAUGGAGGUGAGUUGGUAAGAUGGACUGAUGGAUUCUAUGAGCAGUGUCUGCACCCCAGCCCUAUACUGAUUGUGCUAGACAGAGCUGUUUAAAUACCACCAGACAGAAUAUUACUUAAAUUAAAAUGAGGCCUUAAAUGUCAUUAUUUGUGUCAUUAUUAAUAGCCCCUAAUUGUGUUCUCUAAUCAUCAUGAAAUUAUGUUAGUAUUAAUAUUCACGUCAAAGCUGCCUAGGGAACUUGAAAGAUUUAAAAAAAUUAUACCAUAUGUCAGUUCCCAUGAACGUGAAGCAAAUUCUGGUUUUAGUGCUUAAGCUCAGGCUGGAGAUGAGACAGUGGGCUGCAAGUGAGACUGGACUAGCCCUCCCCUCCUCCUCCCCAAGUGACUUGCUCCUGGUGGCUUCUACCUGGCAAGGUCCUGCAAGGCAUCAGGAGGACCAGUUUCCCUGGAGUACCCUGCAGGUCUCAGUUAGUUACUCCCACUGGCAAGGGGAAUGGAGAAUGUUUGCGCUCUUCUCUCCUCUCACACCAACAGUUUCCUUUGUCUAGACACCAAAAUUAAACCUGUGCUAUCAUCCUGUUCUGCCUGUCCUCAGUCUCCAUCUAUUCAUAGGCCCCACCUCAGUGCAUUUUGAAAUCUGUCCAUACGGCUUGGAGAAGUGACAAGAAAGAAAGAAAGUUGAGUGUCCUCAAGAAAUGCACUGCAUAAUAUAAUGUAGAAUUUUCAGACAAUGUAGAGUCAAAAUUUAAAAGUAUGUCCAUACAGGGCAUCCAUAAAAUCUGGAAACAGGUGAAGCUAUC